UUCAGUUCUACCUCUCUCUCUUUGCAUUCAUCUCUCACCUUCUUUUUCUCUUACCUUUCUCUUGCUCCAUGUUGCCGCCUCUGAAGAAUAACCCUGCGGCGGAGAAAAAGCUUGCUCGAUGGCUUUCUCCGUCUCCCACCGUUCCGCUUUGCGCCGUUCAACGGAACGUUUCGACAAGAAGAGAAGAAGCCAAAGGUCGGUAAGAAGCUUACGAAGGAGGGCGGCACCGCCGACAAGAAGAAGAGGUGCACCCUGAAGAAGCUUACUCGCUGGCUUUCUCCGUCUCCAACCGUUCCGCUUUGCACCAUGAAGAACCCUAGUAGCAGUGCGGUGAUGGAGUUUGGUUCACAGUAUUACACCAUAUUAACUAAUAUAUUCCAGAAUAAUCCGGUGUUUGGUAUUCUAUUUGCGUAUUCUGCAAGGCCCGACCAUAUGCUAGGGCCCUGACCAAAAACCACUGUUCAAUCAGUGUUACACAUCCCCUCCCCCCCGCCCCCCUUCGAUUACUCCGCUAACCAGAAGCAGGAAAAAUAAUUUAUCUUUUCUACCCUUCACAUUUUGGAAUUAAAAUAUCACCAAAUAAAAAAUAACCGCUACUUCGCUUCUUUUUCCUUCUACUACGAAUCUGGUGAGCUCCAUCCAAAAAAAUUGAAAGCUUAAGCCAUAGACGGGGAAAUAGAAAGAGCAACAACAACGAAUUUCAAGCAACAAAGGGCAUUUAAUCGACCCAGGCAAGUGUUGUAAUGUUUGUUAUUUAUAGAGUCUCUGUUGGAUUCAUUUGAUAUACAGGCGGUGGAUUUCACUAUGCUUGAUUAAUUGUCUGUUAGUAUGUGUUGCUUAUCUGUUCUUGAAUCAAAUAUUCCGGCUGAAUUAAUUGGAUAAAAUCUGUUUUGUGAGUUAGGCAGUUUUGAUUUUGUUCCAAGAACACACAUGUUUUUAUAUUAGUUCUCGCAGAUUGUCUGAUAGCGCAGAUGUUUAUUUUGGCUCGAGAAUAUGUUUUUCUAUAUUUGCUGUUGUGCUACAUUACUUGUAAUCAAUAGAGAUUCAUCACACUUUGCAGAUUCAUCUCAUAAUUGCCAAAUUGUGGCUUGAAUGGCUGGAAGAGAAAGCCCUCGUGCGUGUGGCAUGUAUUUC
Molecule: long non-coding RNA, 1134 nt
Organism: Salvia miltiorrhiza (redroot sage)
Lineage: Eukaryota; Viridiplantae; Streptophyta; Magnoliopsida; Lamiales; Lamiaceae
Exons: 2
Source: RefSeq, a predicted model, not a curated record